This 480-nucleotide ribosomal RNA is filed under the name uncultured bacterium. Its description in RNAcentral is "partial 16S ribosomal RNA". It matches the Rfam family "Bacterial small subunit ribosomal RNA", at positions 28 to 523 of the family's 1533-position model. The record is from RNAcentral.
GACGAACGCUGGCGGCGUGCCUAACACAUGCAAGUCGAGCGAGUGAAUCUCCUUCGGGAGUGAAGCUAGCGGCGGACGGGUGAGUAACACGUGGGCAACCUGCCUCAUAGGGGGGAAUAGCCUUCCGAAAGGAAGAUUAAUACCGCAUAAGAUUGCAGCUUCGCAUGAAGUAGCAAUUAAAGGAGCAAUCCGCUAUGAGAUGGGCCCGCGGCGCAUUAGCUAGUUGGUGAGGUAACGGCUCACCAAGGCGACGAUGCGUAGCCGACCUGAGAGGGUGAUCGGCCACAUUGGGACUGAGACACGGCCCAGACUCCUACGGGAGGCAGCAGUGGGGAAUAUUGCACAAUGGGGGAAACCCUGAUGCAGCAACGCCGCGUGAGUGAUGACGGCCUUCGGGUUGUAAAGCUCUGUCUUCAGGGACGAUAAUGACGGUACCUGAGGAGGAAGCCACGGCUAACUACGUGCCAGCAGCCGCCGCCG